GAUGAACGCUGGCGGCGUGCCUAACACAUGCAAGUCGAACGAGAAGCUAACUUCUGAUUCCUUCGGGGAGAUGAAGUUGGUAGAAAGUGGCGAACGGGUGAGUAACGCGUGGGUAAUCUACCCUGUUAGUGGGGGAUAACCCUCCGAAAGGAGGGCUAAUACCGCAUAAGGUCUUCACUUCUUAAGAAGUAAAGAUUAAAGAUGGCCUCUAUACUAUGCUAUCGCCUCAGGAUGAGCCCGCGUCCUAUUAGUUAGUUGGUGGGGUAAUGGCCUACCAAGACCACAAUGGGUAGCCGGUCUGAGAGGAUGUACGGCCACACUGGGACUGAGACACGGUCCAGACUCCUACGGGAGGCAGCAGUGGGGAAUAUUGGACAAUGGGCGAAAGCCUGAUCCAGCCAUGCCGCGUGUGUGAAGAAGGUCUUCGGAUUGUAAAGCACUUUAAGUUGGGAGGAAGGGCAGUUACCUAAUACGUAUCUGUUUUGACGUACCGAC
RNAcentral lists this ribosomal RNA (495 nucleotides) under uncultured bacterium. RNAcentral describes it as "bacterial SSU rRNA". It matches the Rfam family "Bacterial small subunit ribosomal RNA", at positions 28 to 482 of the family's 1533-position model. The record is from RNAcentral.